This 118-nucleotide ribosomal RNA is filed under the name Danio rerio (zebrafish). The record is from RNAcentral. Lineage: Eukaryota; Metazoa; Chordata; Actinopteri; Cypriniformes; Danionidae.
UUUGCCGGCCACUAGCUCUCUGCAACUCUCACAUGGUAGUCUACUAAAGCUAAGCAGGGCUGCGCCUAGUCAGAACCUGGAUGGGAGACCAAAUGGGAAAGCUAGGUUGCUAACGGAA